AUGCACUGUAUGUUUUAUGUGGGUUGCCACCUAUUGGCAUUCUGCUCAAUUCAGUGCAAGAGAAACCUCAGUUUGCAGAAGGGCUGAAUCAAACUAUUGGUUUUUCCCUUUCGAAGGCUGAGAAUAGUA
Megalobrama amblycephala (Wuchang bream) is the source of this 129-nucleotide small nucleolar RNA. The record is from RefSeq and is a predicted model, not a curated record. Lineage: Eukaryota; Metazoa; Chordata; Actinopteri; Cypriniformes; Xenocyprididae.